GAAUGUGAGGGCGAUCUGGCUGGGACAUCUGUCACCCCACUGAUUGCCGGGGUUGAUUUGGCUGAUCUGGCUGGCUAGGCCGGAGUCCUCUUCCUCCCUCACCGCUCCAUGUGCGUCCCUCCGGAAGCUGUGUGCUCGGUGGAAGAGGACGGACGACCUUCCCCAAAUAGAGACAGACCGGUCUUCGGUCGAGGGUAUAAGAGAAGCUGUGCUCCCCUGCUAGAUUCAAGAUGCUUGUGAUAGGAUUUUUUAAAAAGUACUUAUUUGGUGGUUCAGUUUCUACCAUCACUAUUAUAUGCAUUGGAAAGAAUAAU
Molecule: unclassified non-coding RNA, 314 nt
Organism: Erinaceus europaeus (western European hedgehog)
Lineage: Eukaryota; Metazoa; Chordata; Mammalia; Eulipotyphla; Erinaceidae
Gene: 7SK
Rfam family: 7SK RNA
About the family: 7SK was discovered as an abundant small nuclear RNA in the mid-70s but a possible function has only recently been suggested.
Source: Ensembl